CCCUCCAAUUUUCUACUCCACAUUCCGCAGUCGGAACUCGUCUUUGCCAUAUUGGAACUUGUGUUUCUCCGUUCUCUCAGAGAUCUGUGUGUGUGUGUGUGUGUAUAUAUAUAUAUAUACACACACACAAACACAUAUAUAUACACACAGACACACAUAUAUAUACACACAUGCUGAAACCAAAGAUGACUCGUCAUUCAUGAAAUCAGCUUGGACAGCACGGUCCGAACACGAUCAGCGGCGAAUUUUCGACCGACACACGCGGCUUUGUUCGCUUUCACCUUUCGAAACGUUUCGGUCGAUCGAUUUUACCUAAGAAAUGGCGAAGCUACUGUAUGGAAGGCGGAAGAAGAAGGAGGAAGGGAAGGGAAGGGGAGGAGACAGGCGAAAGUAGGAGGAGGAGGAGGAUGGUUUCAAGGAAAGAUUGGAGCAGCAGACGAUGAAAUCGGGUAGCGGCCGUCCCUCUAAUUAAAAUCCACCGCGAUCCGCUUACCCUGUCUGUCCGUGGAUGACUAUCUACCUUCGAGGAUUAACAACGAUCUCGCAAAUGUUACACAGAGCCGGCUUACCCCCUGUCAAUAUAUACGUAUAUACAUAGAGUACAUAGUGCAGCAGGACUCGCGUUGUAUCCUUU
Long non-coding RNA from Vespula vulgaris, 634 nucleotides. RefSeq lists it as uncharacterized. The record is from RefSeq and is a predicted model, not a curated record. Lineage: Eukaryota; Metazoa; Arthropoda; Insecta; Hymenoptera; Vespidae. The transcript has 3 exons.